CUUCUCCUCCUUCUCCCUCAAAGGCCAGCCUUUCCCGUCUGCCUGGGCGCAUCUCCACAUCUUCACCCCCUUUUCUGUUCUUCUCCGCGACUGCUGAGUCUUGAGAACUGAGACCCUUGGGCCAGGCAAUAACAGCUUGUGCUACCUUCUAUUCCAUUCAUCCUCACAGCCUUAAACCUGUACAGCCCCGGACUCUUCUCCAUUCCACUUGCAAAAAGCGGUGAGGGUCGUUAGGACUUAAGUUUUUAGUGCGAUCUCAGCUAAGCGGUUUUUGUUGUUGUUGUUGUUAAAUGGAGGCUGGGUGUGCUCUUGUAUGGGAACUUACAGAGAGGAAAAGAGACCGGAGGGUCCUGAGCUCUGGAAAACUGGGCUCUCUGGAGAACACAGUUUUCUCUGCAAAUUCUACCAAUCUAUGCCCAGGAAACACCAAAGCCUUGUAGCUGGCCUCUUCUUGACCAGUGCAGGGUUUAGACUGCAGGAGUCUUUACUCUUUGCCACCCCUUUUUCUGUUAGGCUUGUUGAAACUGGGGAAAUUUUCACAGAAAAUUGCAUGACUCCUUCGGAGUCCUUUCCUCUCCCAGCAUGAAUAACCACUAUGAGGCUGCUUUAAUUUGUGGUCUGUGGUCUGUUCAAGUUCAUAUUGAACUUUAUAUCCCAGGGCAAUGAGCUUCCUCACCUCUUUCUCAGUCCUCCUGUACUGGACAGUCCUGUAGCUGACUUACCUGGACAGCCCUUCCUCUACAAAAGUCUUGCCUGGGCCUCCUCUUCUCCCCUGGGGGGGGGUGCGGGGGGGUUACCAGACUCCAAAGAUGACCAUCAGGUCACCUCCUCCUCAAAUUGGGAUAAAGAGCAGACAUGAGGCCAGAUGGAGUGGAAACCAUUUCUUGACUCAACUCUGUUGGUGUUUUUCCUAAUAAAACACUUUAGCUACAUGUUUGAUUUCCCAAGAGGGUUUUCAGCCCCUUUGAACAAUGCAGUAAUUCAACUUUUGGGGCAUUAGACUUUCAAAACUAGCUGGACCUUAGCACUGGACGGUUCUCACUCUUACAGGUUCUUCUCUGUGGACUGUGCAUGACUGUUUCCAUGUGAUGCUACUGAUAGUUUUGGAUGCAUUUUCAUCCCUGUUGUUAUCUUUCCAUCAUUAUUACAGGGUCAUAAUGUACAGCAGCUGCCUGGUGCACAGGGAUCUUAAGAGAAUUAUCUAUGCCACUGUUUUCAAACCUUAAAGAUGAAAGAAUCUGUGUGUGUAUGGGGAGGGGGGUGGGUCUCAGAAAUGGUGCCUGAGGAGAUGGAGUUAUAUUUUGUCUUUCCUGCUCUGUUCAGUUUUUCUGGGCUGGACUUUGUUCCUGGUCAUUGAUCACCUGGUUGCUAGACUUGAGUAGACAACUAUUGUCUAGAGAACAAUGGCUUUGGAAAUAUGAAUGUUUCCCAAGGAUCAAUCAGAUAUUCAUCUUAAACCUUGAACUCAUUCCUUCAAAGAUGUUGGACAGCUGGAAAUGGCAUGAACAGUGCACUUGCCCACUUAAGCAGAACAUCGGACCUGUCUCCAGGAACACUUAUGACGUAGUAUUUAGUUAUUCUAUGUCUUUUAAGCUUUUGAUGUCUUUUAGUGUAUUGGAGAAUAUUUUAAAUGAGCUGACAAUUUAGGACGGUCUUUGGAGUGGUGUGUUUCAAGUAAACAAAACUGUGGAGCUCAUUCAUCACCUAUCAGCAGAAAAUUAGGUAAUACACUGUAUUUCAGUCAUUGUUUAAUUGUGUUAUUUGGAUAAUAAAACAAAAAAGAGUAAAACCAAAAGGCUAGCUGUAAUUUGGCAUCAUCCCGACACUCAAGUUCUUUCAACUUUUGUUUUCCUAGCUGGUCUUACUGAUGUGGCAUAAACAAAGCCAGCAUGAUGUCAGCAGUUUGAAAUUUGUUUUGUCAGUUGUAUUUUCCCCAUGUUCUCUUCUAGAUCUAAGUGCUGGACCAUCUCAACAUGAUUAUACCCAGAAAUGUCCCAGUCUAGUCCUGCUGCUGCCUACUCCAGAUCCACCCCAACAACGGAGCUCAUUCUCUCCAUCACCCACCCUCUUUCCUUCUCUUCCUCCUUUUCUUCUUCUUCUCCUUCUCCUCCUUCCUUCUCCUCUCCUUCUCCUCUCCUUCUCCUCCUUCUCCUCCUCCCUUCUCCUCCUUCUCCUUCUUCUCCUCCUUCUCCUCCUUCUCCUCCUUCUCCUCCUUCUCCUCCUUCUCCUCCUUCUCCUUCUUCUCCUUCUUCCCUCCCCUUCUCUUUCUCCUUUCUCUUUCCCUCCUUUCUCCUUUAGACCAUGACUCUAUUCAAUAUAUUUCCCAAGCUGGUCUCAAACUCCUAGAGUCAAAUGAUCCUCUGGCCUCAUCCUCCCAAGUAACUGGUAUUGCACUUGCACAAUGCUCUAGGUACGGAGUAGCUUUUAACCUUUGUUGCUAGCAUACCUACUUCUAGAGAAUAAUAAUGAAAAGCACAGUAUAAAUCUGUCCUGGAAUGACUAUGUUGGGCUCUGUGCCCAGAGGAACAGAGUUGGGAAGAUCUAAAGAGAUGAAAGGGCAAUUGUUGACUCCAGGAUCCUCAGAGCUGUAGGUGAGAGCCAGGUGGUUCAGGUCUCGGCAAUGAUGGAAAGGAUCCAGAAACAGAUAGUAGAACAGGAUUCUCCAAGUAGAAUCAGCAAGCGCGGUAGAAUAGUCUAAGUCUGCUCCCCCUCCAAAUCCUUUAUGUCUACUGAUGCAGAUGAAUGUGUAUAAAGAGCUAUGUUCUCAGCCACACGGCACCCUCAGAAUUCCCAAGAUUUGUGCCAUUCCCAACACAUUCACCAAACCAUGUAUUUUUAUGGACAUGUCCCAUCUGCGGUGGAUUCUGAGCAGGGGUCAAUGCUGAAGUGGGUGUGGUACAGCUCACAGCAGCCAGGGAUCAAUUUGGCUUGAUUUGCAGCAGUUGUUGGAAUGAGAUGUCAUCUGGCAUUUGAAUGCUUGGUGCAUAGUUGGUAGGUAUAUGAGGAGAAUUAGUGAUAUGGCUUUGUCGGAGGAAAUAUGUCACUGAGGAUAAGUUGUGAGGCUUCAAAAUACUCAAAUCAUUUCCAGUUGGUGUUUUGCUUCCUGUUUGUGGUUUGAGAUGUGAGCUCUCCACGGCUCUAGCUACCCACUACCAACUACCUCCACUCUGCCAUCAUGGACUCUAACCCUUUGCAACUGUAAGCCCCCAAAUAAAUCUUUCCUUCU
This 3226-nucleotide long non-coding RNA is filed under the name Mus musculus (house mouse). RNAcentral describes it as "predicted gene, 50128". The record is from RNAcentral. Lineage: Eukaryota; Metazoa; Chordata; Mammalia; Rodentia; Muridae.